Molecule: long non-coding RNA, 447 nt
Organism: Pieris brassicae (large cabbage white)
Lineage: Eukaryota; Metazoa; Arthropoda; Insecta; Lepidoptera; Pieridae
Exons: 3
Source: RefSeq, a predicted model, not a curated record
CUUUUUUGGCAGUAUGUAUAUUUGCACUGCUGUUUCAAGUGCAGGGCUCAUGGGCGAGAGACGCCCGGGACGGUGAGGUCCCAUAUCAGGCUGGAGUGGUCGAAACUUUGCGUAACGGCGAGUAUCUUUAUCUCUGCGCGGGCGCAAUUUUAAACCAACGAUGGAUCGUCACAAUCUCGCUUUGCGUUGAACUAUAUCCGAUGUCUUCGCUGAGAGUUUUAAUUGGUUCCAAUAAUCUGAAUUCGCCGAACAAUGUUUAUUACAACAUGGAUACCAUACGAGAAUAUUAUCAGAAUCCAAAAAAUUUCUCCGUAAUAUCACGAAAUAAUAUAGCAUUAGUCAGGAUUGCAACCAGAUUCACAUUCAACGCGAGAACACAGCCAAUCAGGAUUUCAAAAGAAGAUAUCGAUGAAAGAGAAACAUUAACCAUAAGUGCGUGGAGAAAUC